CUGUCUGGUCAUGAAGUCCUAGCCUUGCUCCCUCCUUUAUUCCCACUCUGCUCUUCUCCAGGCUCUUCAAGACAUUCUGUCUAUUUGUUCCUCUGUAUUCUUCUGCGUUAUUAGUAGCUUCUUGACUUCACGUUUCUCGCUAGUUAAUCUAGAUCCCAUUAUCAUCAUUUCAGCCACUCUCGCCAGUACCUUCUACUCUCUUACCCUUUGUCCUUCUGCCACACCACACUACAAAACCCAAGCCCAGAUCAUCCCACCAGUCUCCUCCUGUGCCCUGGCGUGUAAGUGCCUCUGGAGGGAAUUCACAACCACCAAGUGUCCAGUGUCAGCUGGGCCCUAAGCGGUGCCUGGAGGGCUCUGUCUUCUUUCAUCUUGGGUUGUGCUAUUUCUAUAUUGUAAUCUUUGUAACUCUGCUCUAUUCUGACCCUACCCCUGCUCCCUUUUCACCCUCUCACUUGGAGGGUAGCCUCACCUAUCUUUUCUCACCCCGAGUUGAUUAUGGAGGCAAGCUUAAGGUCUGUUUCCACCUCCACGUUUACCAGCAUCUUUUCUUACCUGACUUGGGAGGAGAAGGUGUUCCUCCUCUUGUACAGGCUCAAUCUUCCACUGACCAACCCUACUUUCUUAGCACUGGCUACUAGGCUAUAAACUUUACUUUUCAUUUUCUCCCUCCCUCUACCCCCAGUAUAAAUCUCUAAGGCCACAGGGAUUUUACUUCCAUUUCAUUUGCUGCAGACAUGAGGUGUGAGAGUAAGAAAGCAAUUGUGCAUAAUUCCAAGAUUUUUGGCCCAAGCACUAGAAGCUUGGAGCUGCCCGUAACUGAGCUGAGGAAGGUCGUUAACGGAGCAGGUUUGGAGGGGAAGGUCAGAAAUUCAGUUCUGGACAUGUUAGCAUGUUAGACAUCCGAGUGGAGAUGUUGAGUAGGCAGUAGGAUGUACAGGUUUCAGAGAGGAGGGCCAGGGUGUAGGGGUAAAUAUAGGUGUUAUCGGCAUAAAGAUGACGUUCAAAUCCAUGAGAUGAGAUGAGAGCCACAAGAAGAGUGUGGAAAAUGAAGAGAAGGAGUCCAAGAACUGAGCCCUGGGACACUCCAAAGCUAAGAAGUCAGGAAGAUGAAGAAAACUAUCCAGGAGAUUGGAAGGAAGAGGCCUGUACUAUAAUAAGAAGGAAAACCAGAGUGUAGUGCCCUGGGAUCCAAGUGAAGAAAGUGUUACAACGAAGGAAGAGGGAGCAACUGUGUCCAGUGUUGCUGAACCAGGGGCCACAUGGAGACAGAGACUGAGGAUGACCUCCAGAGCCCAGCUCCCCUCGGUGUUUCUCCUCCUUGGACUGCUCUGUGGGAGCAGUACCCAGGCCCAGUACAUCCUG
This 1365-nucleotide long non-coding RNA is filed under the name Equus caballus (horse). RNAcentral's name for it is "lncRNA (ENSECAG00000058963.1)". Lineage: Eukaryota; Metazoa; Chordata; Mammalia; Perissodactyla; Equidae. The record is from RNAcentral.